Molecule: ribosomal RNA, 496 nt
Filed under: uncultured bacterium
Lineage: Bacteria
Description: partial 16S ribosomal RNA
Rfam family: Bacterial small subunit ribosomal RNA
Source: RNAcentral
GAUGAACGCUGGCGGCGUGCCUAAUACAUGCAAGUCGAGCGAACGGACGAGAAGCUUGCUUUUCUGAUGUUAGCGGCGGACGGGUGAGUAACACGUGGAUAACCUACCUAUAAGACUGGGAUAACUUCGGGAAACCGGAGCUAAUACCGGAUAAUAUUUUGAACCGCAUGGUUCAAAAGUGAAAGACGGUCUUGCUGUCACUUAUAGAUGGAUCCGCGCUGCAUUAGCUAGUUGGUAAGGUAACGGCUUACCAAGGCAACGAUGCAUAGCCGACCUGAGAGGGGGAACGGCAACACGGGAACGGGGAAACGGCCCAAACCCCAAGGGGAGGCAGCAGAGGGGAAUUUUCCGCAAUGGGGGAAAGCCGAAAGGGGAAACGCCGGGGGGGGGAUGAAGGUUUUGGGAUCGAAAAAACUUGUUAUUAGGAAAAAAAAAAUGGGAAAGUAACUGGCCAAAUCUUGACGGUACCAAAUCAAAAAGCCACGGCUAACUACGU